This 78-nucleotide transfer RNA is filed under the name Hadarchaeum yellowstonense (SeqCode). RNAcentral's name for it is "tRNA-Met". It matches the Rfam family "tRNA". From Rfam's summary of the family: Transfer RNA (tRNA) molecules are approximately 80 nucleotides in length. Their secondary structure includes four short double-helical elements and three loops (D, anti-codon, and T loops). Further hydrogen bonds mediate the characteristic L-shaped molecular structure. tRNAs have two regions of fundamental functional importance: the anti-codon, which is responsible for specific mRNA codon recognition, and the 3' end, to which the tRNAs corresponding amino acid is attached (by aminoacyl-tRNA synthetases). tRNAs cope with the degeneracy of the genetic code in two manners: having more than one tRNA (with a specific anti-codon) for a particular amino acid; and 'wobble' base-pairing, i.e. permitting non-standard base-pairing at the 3rd anti-codon position. Lineage: Archaea; Methanobacteriati; Hadarchaeota (SeqCode); Hadarchaeia (SeqCode); Hadarchaeales (SeqCode); Hadarchaeaceae (SeqCode). RNAcentral also lists the same sequence under 1 other name. The record is from RNAcentral.
GCCGGGGUAGCUCAGCCUGGUUGGAGCGCUCGACUCAUAAUCGAGAGGUCCGGGGUUCAAUUCCCCGCCCCGGCACCA